GAGCACGCUUAGGCGUGUGACUGCGUACCUUUUGUAUAAUGGGUCAGCGACUUAUAUUCUGUAGCAAGGUUAACCGAAUAGGGGAGCCGAAGGGAAACCGAGUCUUAACUGGGCGUUAAGUUGCAGGGUAUAGACCCGAAACCCGGUGAUCUAGCCAUGGGCAGGUUGAAGGUUGGGUAACACUAACUGGAGGACCGAACCGACUAAUGUUGAAAAAUUAGCGGAUGACUUGUGGCUGGGGGUGAAAGGCCAAUCAAACCGGGAGAUAGCUGGUUCUCCCCGAAAGCUAUUUAGGUAGCGCCUCGUGAAUUCAUCUCCGGGGGUAGAGCACUGUUUCGGCAAGGGGGUCAUCCCGACUUACCAACCCGAUGCAAACUGCGAAUACCGGAGAAUGUUAUCACGGGAGACACACGGCGGGUGCUAACGUCCGUCGUGAAGAGGGAAACAACCCAGACCGCCAGCUAAGGUCCCAAAGUCAUGGUUAAGUGGGAAACGAUGUGGGAAGGCCCAGACAGCCAGGAUGUUGGCUUAGAAGCAGCCAUCAUUUAAAGAAAGCGUAAUAGCUCACUGGUCGAGUCGGCCUGCGCGGAAGAUGUAACGGGGCUAAACCAUG
RNAcentral lists this ribosomal RNA (613 nucleotides) under Escherichia coli. RNAcentral's name for it is "partial 23S ribosomal RNA". It matches the Rfam family "Bacterial large subunit ribosomal RNA", at positions 577 to 1191 of the family's 2925-position model. The record is from RNAcentral. Lineage: Bacteria; Pseudomonadati; Pseudomonadota; Gammaproteobacteria; Enterobacterales; Enterobacteriaceae.